Molecule: microRNA precursor, 84 nt
Filed under: Bombyx mori (domestic silkworm)
Lineage: Eukaryota; Metazoa; Arthropoda; Insecta; Lepidoptera; Bombycidae
Description: mir-2807 microRNA precursor family
Rfam family: mir-2807 microRNA precursor family
Source: Rfam by way of RNAcentral
CCAACUCAAAUUUGUAUGCAGUUGGAUCAGCGCCCCUAGCGGCAAACGUAGGCAAACUUUCCAACUCCAUACAAAUUUGUGUUA